GUGAACUGCGGAGGAUCAUUAGUAUUCAAUAUACAAUUUAAAACCACUGUGUAUCAAUCCUGUUGCUUCCGUGAAGCGGUCGGUUCGUAGUGACUGACCAACCGUUGAAGGUUAAUAUAUCAACCUGAGCGGUCAGUAUUCACGGAAGGUUUAUGGCAAACUCUUUUGAAUUUGUUUAUUCUGUCUGAAGCUUGUAAAGUACAAACAUGAAAACUUUCAACAACGGAUCUCUUGGUUCUCGCAUCGAUGAAGAACGCAGCGAAAUGCGAUAAGUAGUGUGAAUUGCAGAAUUCAGUGAAUCAUCGAAUCUUUGAACGCACAUUGCGCCUCCUGGUAUUCCGGGAGGCAUGCCUGUUCGAGCGACUUUAGAACAACCUCAGACAAUUAUUGUUUGGUCGUGGGUGUGGAGGUGUGAAAUAACUGUUUUCCCUCCCUCCUGAAAUCAAAUGGCAAAUUGUUUGGUUUGUAUCAAAGCGUGAUAAGUUAAACCUUUCGCUUUGCAAACUGAUCAUUAUCGCCUUCAAUAUGAAUUCUUCCAGUCUUCGUCCUCGAAUCAGGUAGGGAUACCCGCUGAACUUAA
Molecule: ribosomal RNA, 580 nt
Filed under: uncultured fungus
Lineage: Eukaryota; Fungi
Description: eukaryotic LSU rRNA
Rfam family: 5.8S ribosomal RNA (bases 212-365)
Source: RNAcentral